UAGCAAUACGAUGGAAAGUUUAGUGGCGAACGGGUGCUUAACACGUGGGCAACCUGCCAGGAAGUGGGGGAUAGCUCGCCGAAAGGCGAAUUAAUACCGCAUGUGAUUAGAGAGGACAUCCUUUCGAAAUUAAAGUCGGGGCAACCUGACGCUUCUUGUGGGGCCCGCGGCCUAUCAGCUAGUUGGUGGGGUAAUGGCUCACCAAGGCUUUGACGGGUAGCUGGUCUGAGAGGACGACCAGCCACACUGGGACUGAGACACGGCCCAGACACCUACGGGUGGCAGCAGUCGAGAAUUUUUGACAAUGGGGGAAACCCUGAUCGAGCGACGCCGCGUGGAGGAUGAAGGUCUUCGGAUUGUAAACUCCUGUCAUUGGGGAACAAUGCACAGAUAUUAACUGUAUUUGUGUUGAUAGUACCCGAAGAGGAAGAGACGGCUAACUCUGUGCCAGCAGCCGCGGUAAUACAGAGGUCUCAAGCGUUGUUCGGAUUCAUUGGGCGUAAAGGGUGCGUAGGCGGCGCGGUAAGUCGGGUGUGAAAUCUUGGAGCUUAACUCCGAAACUGCAUUCGAUACUGCCGUGCUUGAGGACUGGAGAGGAGACUGGAAUUCACGGUGUAGCA
Molecule: ribosomal RNA, 620 nt
Filed under: uncultured Verrucomicrobiota bacterium
Lineage: Bacteria; Pseudomonadati; Verrucomicrobiota
Description: bacterial SSU rRNA
Rfam family: Bacterial small subunit ribosomal RNA
Source: RNAcentral